AGCAGAUUGGCCUGAAGGAUGCUGACUCCGCAUAAGAACCCUGGGACUCCAGCCAUGAUCACUUUAAGGACUCUGGCAGGCAGAGAGAUGGUCCUGUGAGAAAAGAAGAACUUAAAAGCUUGGAUCUCUCAACAAUUCGACAAGCCUGGAGAAUGAGAUGGUUGAGUCAGAGUAGCAUGCAAUCCUCAUGGUUUUAUUCCUCCUCAUCCAUAAUAUGUUUAUCAAAAUAAUAUGUUUUGUUUAAUAUAAUUUCAUAAGAUGUUUAACAAAAAAAUGUUUAUCUGUCAGUAUGAUGCUUGUGAAUAUGUUACCUCACAAUGACAAAAAGACUUUAUCAGUGUAUUAAUUUUGAUAAUCACCCAUCUUUUUGGAAAACAGAUUUUCCUAGCCUAUUCAAAGCUGCCAAAGAACUGCAGCAAAUCAAAACAAUGCAAAAGAAGAGAAAUGAACAAAGAAAUUCUUCAAAAGGGUAAAGCUCAGAAGAAGAAUCAGAAAGAUGAGUACUACCUUAUCUGCUGGAGGUGCAUUUGGAAGGUGGGCCUAGGGAUGCAGUCUCUAGAAGUUCUACUGGCUGACAGGCAGCAAAAAAAAUGGGGACCUCAGUCCUACAACCACAUGGUAGUGAGUAAUGGAACAGUUUGAAAUAAGCGUGGAAACAAAUGAUCCCCAAGAAUUUCCAGAAGAAACGCAUCCCGGUUGACCUUGAUUUUAGCUGAAGGUAACCCAGAGAGAACCAAAUUGACCGUACUGUGCCUGGACUUCUGAUCUACAAAACUGUAAAAUGAUAAAUUAGUGUCACUUCAAGCUCUUCAAUGUGUGGUAAUUUGCUACAUAAACAGUAAUAUUAACACAGACUUCAUAAAUUACUCUUUUGAAUUUGAACAUUUCUAAUGUUAAAGAAAUGUAAUACCAGAGGGUCAACAAGCAAACUACAACCCUGUGGGGGGCAGGUCAGGGUGGAAACUGACCCUCAGCCUGUUUAUAUACAGCAUGAGAGCAAAGAAUAAUUUCACAUUGUUAAACGGCUACCAAAAUUACUUAAAAAAAAAAAAGAAUGUUUUGUGAAACAGAGAAGUCAAAUUUAACUAUAAAUAUUUAAUGGAGAACACUCACCUCCAUUUA
Ictidomys tridecemlineatus (thirteen-lined ground squirrel) is the source of this 1122-nucleotide non-coding RNA. The record is from RefSeq and is a predicted model, not a curated record. NCBI's taxonomy places the organism in Eukaryota, Metazoa, Chordata, Mammalia, Rodentia, Sciuridae.